Suricata suricatta (meerkat) is the source of this 1077-nucleotide RNA transcript. It is a transcript of the gene named CDV3 homolog, with no coding region annotated. Lineage: Eukaryota; Metazoa; Chordata; Mammalia; Carnivora; Herpestidae. The transcript is spliced from 8 exons. The record is from RefSeq and is a predicted model, not a curated record.
UCAGUGGGCCUUGUUGAGGGAGAUAAAUGAUGUCUUUUGGACUGUACCACUUCAGAGACUCAGAGAGACAUUUCCACGUUCAGACAGCACUAAAAUCCUUAGAAGAGGGGGAAGGUCUAAACAUCAGAAGGCAGAGGAGAAGAAACCUUCAUCAAGAGAAAGUUGGAGAAUGCUUCAAGAACCUAAACGUCAAGCCCACUGCUCCUCUCACUUUCCUAAUAAUCACCUCAUCAAAUGAAAAUUAAAACUCAUCAGACCAGAGACGGUGGAAGCGCAAAGUGGAGCGAAAGAAGAGGAUGAAGAUGAGUGGAAAGAAUUUGAACAAAAAGAGGUUGAUUACAGUGGCCUCCGAGUUCAGGCGAUGCAAAUAAGUGAAAAGGAAGAAGAAGAUAAUGAAAAAAGAGAAGAUCCAGGUGAAAACUGGGAAGAAGGUGGAGGUGGUGGUGGUGGAGUAGAGAAGUCUUUAGGUCCCUGGAAUAAAACCGCUCCGGUACAAGCACCUCCUGCUGCAGUAAUUGUUACAGAAGCCCCAGAACCAGCGAUGACUAGUGGUGUGUACAGGCCCCCUGGAGCCAGGUUAACCACAACGAGGAAAACGCCGCAAGGCCCACCCGAAAUCUACAGCGACACACAGUUCCCGUCCCUGCAGUCCACUGCCAAGCAUGUAGAAAGCCGGAAAUACUGAGCCUUCAUAAGGGCUGACUACCUCAGGUUUGCUGCACUCGUCACGGACGUCAUGUGGAUCACAACUUCUGGACACGAAGGUUACAGCUACAAAAUUUCGUUGGGGGUUAUGUUAUUGAGGAAUGAACUGAGGAACACGCGGAACUUUUUAUUUAUGGCAUACUAUACUAGAAAUCUGAAGACCUACAGGAGAUACAAAGUUCCAACUCUUGUUAUAACUUUUUAAAAGAUUGUGAAAUUAUAAAAAUGCACAUGAAUCAAGUUUUAAUAUACUGUAUGAUGGGUGGGUGAGGCUGUCCAUUGUACCAUUUCUUUCUUUGAAUUCUCAGGCGUGGUUUGGCAGUGCAGGAACUCUGUAACAUUAACAAACUCAAUAAAAAGAAAAUAUAUGGA